AGCUUGCGUUCAAGACGAGGAUGAUUUAGGGUUUUUCGUCGGAGCAGCCGACAUAAACCAAUUCAAGGUUUUCGUCUUCGUUUUCGUUAAUUUCAAUUCAAUUAUUCCAUGCACGAUGCACCCCGGGCUACUCUGAUUAUCUCCGUGACGGUGAUAGCCCCAUUGCUCGUGCUAGAGUGUAGCCGUUUAGUGUUGCAGGUUAGCCUUGCACUUUUCCACGGCUGAUCUGUGUCAAAAUAACGGCUAGAUCUCUUUAUUAUUGUAUCGAACAAUAUUGCAUCUUCGAUUUUGUCUCUGGUUAGUUAUUAGCAUUUUUGGAGGCCUCACUACACCUUUAGCUUGUUUUCUGCAGAUUAAGCAUAUGAAAAUGGAGCUAGUCAUAGAGGCCGAUAUUUAGUCUUCGGCGGUGUUCACGUGGGGGCCUAUCCGUUCAAUGUCAUAUCAUGAUUGUAAUGCUUUGAUUCUGCCAAUGAUGAUUCAAUCCAUCCGUUUAAGACUUUGUGGAGCCAAGUCCCUGUUUCAGGGAGAACCUACUUGGUGAAGCGAUGUUCAUAUGAUAUAAAUGGAUUUAACUGAGAUUGAUUGGGAUUGCUCAGCCGCCUCCCUUUCUUUCAGAGUGGAACUGUUUUGAUCAAUCAGUGUGGCUGACCAUGAAAUAUCUAGCAAAACUGAAGUAAUGCAGCUUGAGAAUUCCUUCAUGUAGCAGCAUGAAGUAGUAAAUAUGCUAUAAAAAUAUGUAGCUCGUGGCAGAUGUACUAAAUAGAAGUUGUUAUAUAUAGUUUCUAGUCAUUUGCUGAAUGUUCGCGCCUCAUUUUUGCUUUGUCUCUCCCUAUCUUUCUCUCUAUCACGUUGAAUGAUCAACAUCUUAUGUUAUUUUUCAACU
Non-coding RNA from Benincasa hispida (wax gourd), 883 nucleotides. The record is from RefSeq and is a predicted model, not a curated record. NCBI's taxonomy places the organism in Eukaryota, Viridiplantae, Streptophyta, Magnoliopsida, Cucurbitales, Cucurbitaceae.